Ribosomal RNA from Lates calcarifer (barramundi perch), 118 nucleotides. The record is from Ensembl. NCBI's taxonomy places the organism in Eukaryota, Metazoa, Chordata, Actinopteri, Centropomidae.
GCUUACGGCCACACCACCCUGAGCGCGCCCGAUCUCGUCUGAUCUCGGAAGCUAAGCAGGGUCGGCCUGGUUAGUACUUGGAUGGGAGACCGCCUGGGAAUACCAGGUGCCGUAAGCU